CUGUCGGGUCACACACACACACACACAUUUCUCACUAUCGCCCCCUAAGGAUCCCGGUUGGUAUUGCACUUGAUAGUUCACACACACCACUACCAAAUAUGGUAUGUACCGCCCCUUCCUUGUCCCCAUGAAGUAUGUAUUCAAAUACUAAGAACUUUUUUCAGUGUUAGUCAACAAUUAGGCUAUUGGAAACGUUUAUUUGCAACAGAUGCCAACUACAGUGCUAAGAAUUAUACUUUUUUAAUUACAUUUUAAUUAAAAUGUAUUUAUUCAAUACAAAAUGCAGCUUAUAGGAAUUGCUUUAUAAUUAAUUGAGUGCUGGAUUGAAAUAAUAUAUUUCUUGAUCUAGUAAAAGCAAUAAAACAUGGCUUCUUAUUAGUGAAUUAGCAUUUAUAGAUAUGAUAUUUUGCCAUAACAAUAAUAAGAUUAAUCAUAUAUUCCCGAUUGUUGUCUUAGAUUCAAUAGAUUGUUGUCUUAUUGUCUAAGAGUCCAAACAAUACAUUUUUCCAAUGCUAGUAAGAGGCUUGUGACUUUGGCCGUUUGCUUUUAAUGUGAAAUCAGACAGGAAGUCAAAUGUACCUUCAGGUUCAACCUCAGCCUAGAAGAAGAGCCUUUUAUCUCUGUGAAACCGUCGAAUUUGAUGCAUAUUAAGGAUUUACCCGGAGCAAGUGGCGUGUACAUUUGAAAUGCCACCAAGAAUCAGUCCCCUCACAGAUGCCUGUCACCAUGUCGGUUUAAAGACUGACAAUACAUGGAAACUGGAGGUGAAGUACAUCAAUGCAGUAAAAGGGCGUGGGGUGUUCGCCAUAGGUUCAUUCUCCAAAGGAGAUUUUAUAGUGGAAUGCAGGGGAGAUUUGAUAAGCGAUGGUGAAGCUCAAAAGAGAAGAAGAAAUUAUAACCCUGCAUGUUCUGGAUUUUUGUUCGCGUUCAAGUUGGGAGGCAAAACAUGGUGCAUUGACGCCUCUAGAGAAGAUGGUUCCUUCGGCCGCUUGGUGAACGAUGACCACAGACAUCCCAAUGCCAGGAUGAAGAGAAUAGACAUUGCAGGAAGCACACACCUCUGUCUCUUUGCUCUCCAAGACAUAAAAGAAGGUGAAGAAAUUGCAUAUAAUUAUGGAGGAGAGGACUGCCCAAGCAGGUACGUGUUACAACUAGUGUUAAGGUAUAUACAAUUCAAGAAUGUCUUGGAAUAACUUAAUGAUUGAUGGUAUCUUUUCUUUGAAACUAUAUAAAUCAAUUUCAAUAAAUGAUCAUUUUUUCUAUUGUAUAUUAAAACAUUGGAUAUUCAGGAGGCAUCUGAAUCAGGGCCAAAUGUCACUGUAGUCUGGGACGUUCCCGACGUCCCCACAAUACAUCUUGUAUGGUUUUGUUUCAGUGAAACUUUAUGUUAAGUAUCUGAUAAAGGAGAACGUACAGGUGUGCGAAAUUCAACACAGUUAAUUCAACAUGUGUGAAAUGUCCCCACUAGGCAUAGUCUAUGUGACAGCAGACAGGUUGACAAAGCAGGACAAAAUAUUACCAUAGAAUCCUUUCUCGCUAGUUUGGUGUGUGGGGAUGUAUUUGACCCAAGAGACAUGUCCUUUAGAAAAUGUAUUAAAAUAAUAUAAUAUUAUGCAGUGUUUACAUGAAAUUGACUGAUUUACUUUUUGUAUCAAAUUGCAGAUGACUACAUGUGAACCUGAGACGUCCUGUGUGAGCUCCCAGUCUGUGCUCAUGUCAGAGCCACAGUGGGAUGAAGCUGCCUGGUUAGAGGACACUGGUCACCAGGUAAUUCAUGUCCAUCACUAAAUAU
Long non-coding RNA from Gadus chalcogrammus (walleye pollock), 1792 nucleotides. RefSeq lists it as uncharacterized. NCBI's taxonomy places the organism in Eukaryota, Metazoa, Chordata, Actinopteri, Gadiformes, Gadidae. The transcript is spliced from 4 exons. The record is from RefSeq and is a predicted model, not a curated record.